GAUGAACGCUGGCGGCGUGCCUAAUACAUGCAAGUCGAGCGAACAGACGAGGAGCUUGCUCCUCUGACGUUAGCGGCGGACGGGUGAGUAACACGUGGAUAACCUACCUAUAAGACUGGGAUAACUUCGGGAAACCGGCGCUAAUACCGGAUAAUAUAUUGAACCGCAUGGUUCAAUAGUGAAAGACGGUUUUGCUGUCACUUAUAGAUGGAUCCGCGCCGCAUUAGCUAGUUGGUAAGGUAACGGCUUACCAAGGCAACGAUGCGUAGCCGACCUGAGAGGGUGAUCGGCCACACUGGAACUGAGACACGGUCCUGACUCCUACGGGAGGCAGCAGUAGGGAAUCUUCCGCAAAGGGCGAAAGCCUGACGGAGCAACGCCGCGUGAGUGAUGAAGGUCUUCGGAUCGUAAAACUCUGUUAUUAGGGAAGAACAAAUGUGUAAGUAACUAUGCACGUCUUGACGGUACCUAAUCAGAAAGCCACGGCUAACUACGUG
Molecule: ribosomal RNA, 497 nt
Filed under: uncultured bacterium
Lineage: Bacteria
Description: partial 16S ribosomal RNA
Rfam family: Bacterial small subunit ribosomal RNA
Source: RNAcentral